Long non-coding RNA from Perca fluviatilis (European perch), 569 nucleotides. RefSeq lists it as uncharacterized. The transcript is spliced from 2 exons. Lineage: Eukaryota; Metazoa; Chordata; Actinopteri; Perciformes; Percidae. The record is from RefSeq and is a predicted model, not a curated record.
CUGGGAGGGAUACGGUCCCGAAGAGAGGUCCUGGAUUCCCCGGCGGUUUAUACUGGACCCGCAGCUGGUGGCUGACUUCCAUAGGGACCACCCUGACAAGCCGGGUGGGUCGCCGGGUGGCGCCCGUUGAGGGGGGGGUACUGUUACGGUCCGGCACUGUUGUUCCUGUCCCCGUUUGUUUUCCUUUUCCCUUUUUCCCUGUGUGUGUUGUCUGUGUCUGUCUCCUCCUGCUGUGCAGUCCAGUCAGAGGAUCUAGGUCAGGGGGCGUGGCCAUUACCUCCAGCUGCAGCUCAUUGUCACCAAUCAACCAGCAGUUAUCUACCCGGGCUGGCCACCUCUCCAGCGCCAGUUCGUUCCUACACCACCUGUGAUCCCGUCUGUUCCUGCUGCCUGCCUGCCUGCCACUUCCACGCCGCAACCUGCUCAUCUGUUGUCUGAUAUCCUCGUCAUCCAGCUCUCAGUGCUACUAGCUCUCCACCCCACUCAGCUCCUAUUCCGGUCUGAAGCUGCUCCACCCUGAACUGUUUUCUCUCUGCCAAAACACGCAGAAUAAACAACAUCUUUAAUCA